UCUCCUAAUCAUAGAAUUCACCGCUUAAUCACUAUAGUCUGACAUUGCUAAACCCAAACCAAAAGUUAAAGGACUGUAAAAUUUUACUUACCAACCGAAUAACGAACCAAGAACGCAGUAGUGAUGAUUGAAUGAGAAAUUUCAACAGAGAUUCGAGGAAAGCAACGAAAAUCGAAAAAGGAUGACAAAGAAGAGGAGAAAAGGAAAAAAAUCAGAGACAGAGAAAAAUAAAAUAAAAUACAAUUUAAAAAAACAAAUUAGAUAGAUCCCAACUCCCCACUAACAACUCAAUCUCAACUACCUUAGAAUCCCAACUCCACCGAAACUCUAUCACAUAACCGAGCAAAAAUUAACACCC
RNAcentral lists this long non-coding RNA (358 nucleotides) under Gossypium raimondii (Peruvian cotton). RNAcentral's name for it is "long non-coding RNA (GRAI_LNC007493)". Lineage: Eukaryota; Viridiplantae; Streptophyta; Magnoliopsida; Malvales; Malvaceae. The record is from RNAcentral.